AUACGUAGGGUGCAAGCGUUAAUCGGAAUUACUGGGCGUAAAGCGUGCGCAGGCGGUUUUGUAAGACAGUGGUGAAAUCCCCGGGCUCAACCUGGGAACUGCCCUUGUGACUGCAAGGCUGGAGUGCGGCAGAGGGGGAUGGAAUUCCGCGUGUAGCAGUGAAAUGCGUAGAUAUGCGGAGGAACACCGAUGGCGAAGGCAAUCCCCUGGGCCUGCACUGACGCUCAUGCACGAAAGCGUGGGGAGCAACCAGGAUUAGAUACCCUGGUAGUCCACGCCCUAAACGAUGUCAACUGGUUGUUGGGGAUUUAUUUUCUCAGUAACGAAGCUAACGCGUGAAGUUGACCGCCUGGGGAGUACGGCCGCAAGGUUAAAACUCAAAGGAAUUGACGGGG
RNAcentral lists this ribosomal RNA (395 nucleotides) under uncultured bacterium. RNAcentral's name for it is "partial 16S ribosomal RNA". It matches the Rfam family "Bacterial small subunit ribosomal RNA", at positions 523 to 918 of the family's 1533-position model. The record is from RNAcentral.